GCAGCUCAACUGUAGAACUGCCCUUGAUACUGGUUGUCUUGAAUAGUCGUGAAGUGAUUAGAAUAAGUAGUGUAGCGGUGAAAUGCAUAGAUAUUACUUAGAAUACCGAUUGCGAAGGCAGAUCACUAACGACUCAUUGACGCUGAGGGACGAAAGCGUGGGGAGCGAACAGGAUUAGAUACCCUGGUAGUCCACGCCGUAAACGAUGGAUACUAGCUGUCCGACCUUCGGGUUGGGUGGCCAAGCGAAAGUGAUAAGUAUCCCACCUGGGGAGUACGUUCGCAAGAAUGAAACUCAAAGGAAUUGACGGGGGCCCGCACAAGCGGUGGAGCAUGUGGUUUAAUUCGAUGAUACGCGAGGAACCUUACCAGGGCUUAAAUGCAUAAUGACAGGAGUGGAAACACUUUUUUCUUCGGACAUUUUGCAAGGUGCUGCAUGGUUGUCGUCAGCUCGUGCCGUGAGGUGUCAGGUUAAGUCCUAUAACGAGCGCAACCCCUGCCGUUAGUUGCCAGCAUGUAAAGAUGGGAACUCUAACGGGACUGCCGGUGCAAACCGCGAGGAAGGUGGGGAUGACGUCAAAUCAUCACGGCCCUUACGUCCUGGGCCACACACGUGCUACAAUGGCCGGUACAGAGGGCAGCCACACUGUAAAGUGGAGCGAAUCCUUAAAACCGGUCUCAGUUCGGAUCGGGGUCUGCAACUCGACCCCGUGAAGCUGGAAUCGCUAGUAAUCGGAUAUCAGCCAUGAUCCGGUGAAUACGUUCCCGGGCCUUGUACACACCGCCCGUCAAGCCAUGGAAGCUGGGAGUACCUGAAGUCGGUGACCGCAAGGAGCUGCCUAGGGUAAAACUAG
This 853-nucleotide ribosomal RNA is filed under the name uncultured bacterium. RNAcentral describes it as "bacterial SSU rRNA". It matches the Rfam family "Bacterial small subunit ribosomal RNA", at positions 604 to 1471 of the family's 1533-position model. The record is from RNAcentral.